Molecule: ribosomal RNA, 1496 nt
Filed under: Bacillus subtilis
Lineage: Bacteria; Bacillati; Bacillota; Bacilli; Caryophanales; Bacillaceae
Description: bacterial SSU rRNA
Rfam family: Bacterial small subunit ribosomal RNA
Source: RNAcentral
UGGCUCAGGACGAACGCUGGCGGCGUGCCUAAUACAUGCAAGUCGAGCGGACAGACGGGAGCUUGCUCCCUGAUGUUAGCGGCGGACGGGUGAGUAACACGUGGGUAACCUGCCUGUAAGACUGGGAUAACUCCGGGAAACCGGGGCUAAUACCGGAUGGUUGUCUGAAUCGCAUGGUUCAGACAUAAAAGGUGGCUUCGGCUACCACUUACAGAUGGACCCGCGGCGCAUUAGCUAGUUGGUGAGGUAACGGCUCACCAAGGCGACGAUGCGUAGCCGACCUGAGAGGGUGAUCGGCCACACUGGGACUGAGACAUGGCCCAGACUCCUACGGGAGGCAGCAGUAGGGAAUCUUCCGCAAUGGACGAAAGUCUGACGGAGCAACGCCGCGUGAGUGAUGAAGGUUUUCGGAUCGUAAAGCUCUGUUGUUAGGGAAGAACAAGUGCCGUUCAAAUAGGGCGGCACCUUGACGGUACCUAACCAGAAAGCCACGGCUAACUACGUGCCAGCAGCCGCGGUAAUACGUAGGUGGCAAGCGUUGUCCGGAAUUAUUGGGCGUAAAGGGCUCGCAGGCGGUUUCUUAAGUCUGAUGUGAAAGCCCCCGGCUCAACCGGGGAGGGUCAUUGGAAACUGGGGAACUUGAGUGCAGAAGAGGAGAGUGGAAUUCCACGUGUAGCGGUGAAAUGCGUAGAGAUGUGGAGGAACACCAGUGGCGAAGGCGACUCUCUGGUCUGUAACUGACGCUGAGGAGCGAAAGCGUGGGGAGCGAACAGGAUUAGAUACCCUGGUAGUCCACGCCGUAAACGAUGAGUGCUAAGUGUUAGGGGGUUUCCGCCCCUUAGCGCUGCAGCUAACGCAUUAAGCACUCCGCCUGGGGAGUACGGUCGCAAGACUGAAACUCAAAGGAAUUGACGGGGGCCCGCACAAGCGGUGGAGCAUGUGGUUUAAUUCGAAGCAACGCGAAGAACCUUACCAGGUCUUGACAUCCUCUGACAAUCCUAGAGAUAGGACGUCCCCUUCGGGGGCAGAGUGACAGGUGGUGCAUGGUUGUCGUCAGCUCGUGUCGUGAGAUGUUGGGUUAAGUCCCGCAACGAGCGCAACCCUUGAUCUUAGUUGCCAGCAUUCAGUUGGGCACUCUAAGGUGACUGCCGGUGACAAACCGGAGGAAGGUGGGGAUGACGUCAAAUCAUCAUGCCCCUUAUGACCCGGGCUACACACGUGCUACAAUGGACAGAACAAAGGGCAGCGAAACCGCGAGGUUAAGCCAAUCCCACAAAUCUGUUCUCAGUUCGGAUCGCAGUCUGCAACUCGACCGCGUGAAGCUGGAAUCGCUAGUAAUCGCGGAUCAGCAUGCCGCGGUGAAUACGUUCCCGGGCCUUGUACACACCGCCCGUCACACCACGAGAGUUUGUAACACCCGAAGUCGGUGAGGUAACCUUUAUGGAGCCAGCCGCCGAAGGUGGGACAGAUGAUUGGGGUGAAGUCGUAACAAGGUA